Small nucleolar RNA from Syngnathoides biaculeatus (alligator pipefish), 221 nucleotides. RefSeq annotates it as small nucleolar RNA SNORA73 family. NCBI's taxonomy places the organism in Eukaryota, Metazoa, Chordata, Actinopteri, Syngnathiformes, Syngnathidae. The record is from RefSeq and is a predicted model, not a curated record. The transcript has a single exon.
CUGACGUCGACAUCCAGUGAGUCUUGUCUCCUGGCUCUGUCGUGGUGGCGUAAGGGAGCGUAGCCUCGCGCUAAGAUGUACAUUCCCAUUCCACGAUGUCGGAAAAAAAGCUCCGUCCCCGACUGGACAGUCGGCGAGGACGAGCGUCCUGCAUAUUCCUAAACCUUCACCAGAGUCCUUCGUGGCCAUUACUGGGGAGGCAAACCAUGCAGUGCACAUUU